This 406-nucleotide ribosomal RNA is filed under the name uncultured bacterium. Its description in RNAcentral is "partial 16S ribosomal RNA". It matches the Rfam family "Bacterial small subunit ribosomal RNA", at positions 29 to 526 of the family's 1533-position model. The record is from RNAcentral.
AUUGAACGCUGGCGGCAGGCCUAACACAUGCAAGUCGAACGAGUGGCGGACGGGUGAGUAAUGUCUGGGAAACUGCCUGAUGGAGGGGGAUAACUACUGGAAACGGUAGCUAAUACCGCAUACCAUCGGAUGUGCCCAGAUGGGAUUAGCUAGUAGGUGGGGUAAAGGCUCACCUAGGCGACGAUCCCUAGCUGGGCUGAGAGGAUGACCAGCAAAACGGAAACUAGGAAACGGUCCAGACUCCUACGGGAGGCAGCAGUGGGGAAUAUUGCACAAUGGGCGCAAGCCUGAUGCAGCCGUGCGGCGUGUAUGAAGAAGGCCUUCGGGUUGUAAAGUACUGUCAGCGGGGAGGCGUUACCCGCAGAAGAAGCACCGGCUAACGCCGUGCCAGCAGCCGCGGUAAUAC